This 321-nucleotide ribosomal RNA is filed under the name uncultured bacterium. Its description in RNAcentral is "bacterial SSU rRNA". It matches the Rfam family "Bacterial small subunit ribosomal RNA", at positions 84 to 422 of the family's 1533-position model. The record is from RNAcentral.
CCGCAAGGGGAGUGGCAGACGGGUGAGUAACGCGUGGGAACAUACCCUUCGGUUCGGAAUAGCUCAGGGAAACUUGGAUUAAUACCGGAUACGUCCGUAAGGAGAAAGAUUUAUCGCCGAAGGAUUGGCCCGCGUCUGAUUAGCUUGUUGGUGAGGUAAUGGCUCACCAAGGCGACGAUCAGUAGCUGGUCUGAGAGGAUGACCAGCCACAUUGGGACUGAGACACGGCCCAAACUCCUACGGGAGGCAGCAGUGGGGAAUAUUGGACAAUGGGCGAAAGCCUGAUCCAGCCAUGCCGCGUGAGUGAUGAAGGCCUUAGGG